CCUACGGGUGACAGCAGUGGGGAAUAUUGGGCAAUGAAGGCAACUCUGACCCAGCAACGCCGCGUGAAUGAUGAAGGUCUUCGGAUUGUAAAGUUCUUUGAUCGGGGAUGAACACAAUGACGUUACCCCAAUAGCAAGUCACGGCUAACUACGUGCCAGCAGCCGCGGUAAUCCGUAGGUGGCAAGCGUUAUCCGGAAUGACUGGGCGUAAAGGGUGCGUAGGUGGUUUAGUAAGUUGGCGGUGAAAUUCCGGGGCUCAACCUCGGAGCUACAGCCAAAACUAAUAGGCUAGAGGGCAGGAGGGGUAAGUAGAAUUCCUAGUGUAGCGGUGGAAUGCGUAGAGAUUAGGAGGAACAUCAGGGGCGAAGGCGACUUACUGGACGGUAACUGACACUGAGGCACGAAAGCGUGGGGAGCAAACAGGAUUAGAUACCCGUGUAGUC
This 443-nucleotide ribosomal RNA is filed under the name uncultured bacterium. RNAcentral describes it as "partial 16S ribosomal RNA". It matches the Rfam family "Bacterial small subunit ribosomal RNA", at positions 338 to 795 of the family's 1533-position model. The record is from RNAcentral.